UACGUAGGGUGCGAGCGUUGUCCGGAAUUAUUGGGCGUAAAGAGCUUGUAGGUGGUUUGUCGCGUCUGCUGUGAAAAUCCGAGGCUCAACCUCGGACUUGCAGUGGGUACGGGCAGACUAGAGUGUGGUAGGGGAGACUGGAAUUCCUGGUGUAGCGGUGGAAUGCGCAGAUAUCAGGAGGAACACCAAUAGCGAAGGCAGCUCGCUGGGACGUUACUGACACUGAGGCGCGAAAGCGUGGGGAGCGAACAGG
This 253-nucleotide ribosomal RNA is filed under the name uncultured bacterium. RNAcentral describes it as "partial 16S ribosomal RNA". It matches the Rfam family "Bacterial small subunit ribosomal RNA", at positions 524 to 776 of the family's 1533-position model. The record is from RNAcentral.